AUCCAGCUGACGAGUCUGAAAUAGAAUGAAACGCACGUCCUGAAU
RNAcentral lists this non-coding RNA (45 nucleotides) under Schistosoma margrebowiei. The record is from RNAcentral. Lineage: Eukaryota; Metazoa; Platyhelminthes; Trematoda; Strigeidida; Schistosomatidae.